CACAGAGAAGGGACAUUCACACGUCUUACUUCCUAUCCCAGACCCAGAGCCUAAGAAGGAGGGACUGGUCUGGUGGAAGAUGACAGCUUGCUCCAACAGAAGCUACCUGAAGGGC
Microtus ochrogaster (prairie vole) is the source of this 115-nucleotide small nucleolar RNA. RefSeq annotates it as small nucleolar RNA SNORD22. The record is from RefSeq and is a predicted model, not a curated record. Lineage: Eukaryota; Metazoa; Chordata; Mammalia; Rodentia; Cricetidae.